Molecule: ribosomal RNA, 470 nt
Filed under: uncultured Pelotomaculum sp.
Lineage: Bacteria; Bacillati; Bacillota; Clostridia; Eubacteriales; Desulfotomaculaceae
Description: bacterial SSU rRNA
Rfam family: Bacterial small subunit ribosomal RNA
Source: RNAcentral
GACGGGGCCGCACAAGCGGUGGAGCAUGUGGUUAAUUCGACGCAACGCGAAGAACCUUACCAGGGUUUGACAUCCCCUGACGGCUGUGGAAACACAGAAUUCUAUUUUCGGAUAGACAGGGAGACAGGUGGUGCAUGGUUGUCGUCAGCUCGUGUCGUGAGAUGUUGGGUUAAGUCCCGCAACGAGCGCAACCCCUACGUUUAGUUGCUAACGGGUGGAGCCGAGCACUCUGGACGAACUGCCGUUGACAAAACGGAGGAAGUGGGAUGACGUCAAAUCAUCAUGCCCCUUAUGUCCUGGGCCACACACGUGCUACAAUGGCCGGUACAGAGGGAAGCGAAGCCGUGAGGCGGAGCAAAUCCCAAAAAGCCGGUCUCAGUUCGGAUUGCAGGCUGCAACCCGCCUGCAUGAAGUCGGAAUCGCUAGUAAUCGCAGGUCAGCAUACUGCGGUGAAUACGUUCCCGGGCCUU